GUAGGUGGCAAGCGUUGUCCGGAAUUAUUGGGCGUAAAGCGCGCGCAGGCGGUCCUUUAAGUCUGAUGUGAAAGCCCACGGCUCAACCGUGGAGGGUCAUUGGAAACUGGGGGACUUGAGUACAGAAGAGGAAAGCGGAAUUCCAAGUGUAGCGGUGAAAUGCGUAGAGAUUUGGAGGAACACCGAAGUGGCGAAGGCGGCUUUCUGGUUCUGUAACUGACGCUGAGGCGCGAAAGCGUGGGGAGCGAAACAGGGAUUAGAUACCGUGGUAGUCCACGCCGUAAACGAUGAGUGCUAAGUGUUAGGGGUUUCCCGCCCCGUUUAGUGCUGCAGCUAACGCAUUAAGCACUCCGCCUGGGGAUACGGCCGCAAGGCUG
RNAcentral lists this ribosomal RNA (377 nucleotides) under uncultured organism. RNAcentral describes it as "partial 16S ribosomal RNA". It matches the Rfam family "Bacterial small subunit ribosomal RNA", at positions 527 to 896 of the family's 1533-position model. The record is from RNAcentral.